GACGAACGCUGGCGGCGUGCUUAACACAUGCAAGUCGAACGGAAAGGCCCUGCUUUUGUGGGGUGCUCGAGUGGCGAACGGGUGAGUAACACGUGAGUAACCUGCCCUUGACUUUGGGAUAACUUCAGGAAACUGGGGCUAAUACCGGAUAGGAGCUCCUGCUGCAUGGUGGGGGUUGGAAAGUUUCGGCGGUUGGGGGUGGACUCGCGGCUUAUCAGCUUGUUGGUGGGGUAGUGGCUUACCAAGGCUUUGAUUGGUAGCCGGCCUGAGAGGGUGACCGGCCACAUUGGGACUGAGAUACGGCCCAGACUCCUACGGGAGGCAGCAGUGGGGAAUAUUGCACAAUGGGCGGAAGCCUGAUGCAGCAACGCCGCGUGCGGGAUGACGGCCUUCGGGUUGUAAACCGCUUUCGCCUGUGACGAAGCGUGAGUGACGGUAAUGGGUAAAGAAGCACCGGCUAACUACGUG
This 468-nucleotide ribosomal RNA is filed under the name uncultured bacterium. Its description in RNAcentral is "partial 16S ribosomal RNA". It matches the Rfam family "Bacterial small subunit ribosomal RNA", at positions 28 to 507 of the family's 1533-position model. The record is from RNAcentral.